GGGACUGUGGCUUAGUGGUAAAGUGCUUACUUAGCAUGCAUGAAGCCCUGGGUUCGAUUCCUCAGUACCA
This 70-nucleotide transfer RNA is filed under the name Dipodomys ordii (Ord's kangaroo rat). It matches the Rfam family "tRNA". From Rfam's summary of the family: Transfer RNA (tRNA) molecules are approximately 80 nucleotides in length. Their secondary structure includes four short double-helical elements and three loops (D, anti-codon, and T loops). The record is from Rfam by way of RNAcentral. Lineage: Eukaryota; Metazoa; Chordata; Mammalia; Rodentia; Heteromyidae.